AUUGAACGCUGGCGGCAUGCCUUACACAUGCAAGUCGAACGGCAGCACGGGAGCAAUCCUGGUGGCGAGUGGCGAACGGGUGAGUAAAGUAUCGGAACGUGCCCAGUCGUGGGGGAUAACGUAGCGAAAGUUACGCUAAUACCGCAUACGAUCUAUGGAUGAAAGCGGGGGAUCGCAAGACCUCGCGCGAUUGGAGCGGCCGAUAUCAGAUUAGGUAGUUGGUGGGGUAAAGGCUCACCAAGCCGACGAUCUGUAGCUGGUCUGAGAGGACGACCAGCCACGCUGGGACUGAGACACGGCCCUGACUCCUACGGGAGGCAGCAGUGGGGAAUUUUGGACAAUGGGCGAAAGCCUGAUCCAGCCAUGCCGCGUGCAGGAUGAAGGCCUUCGGGUUGUAAACUGCUUUUGUACGGAACGAAAAGGUUUGGGCUAAUAAGCUGAGCUCAUGACGGUACCGUAAGAAUAAGCACCGGCUAACUACGUGCCAGCCGCCGCCGUAA
RNAcentral lists this ribosomal RNA (500 nucleotides) under uncultured bacterium. RNAcentral describes it as "partial 16S ribosomal RNA". It matches the Rfam family "Bacterial small subunit ribosomal RNA", at positions 30 to 523 of the family's 1533-position model. The record is from RNAcentral.